This is a long non-coding RNA of Brassica napus (rape), 3232 nucleotides long. RefSeq lists it as uncharacterized. The transcript has 2 exons. The record is from RefSeq and is a predicted model, not a curated record. Lineage: Eukaryota; Viridiplantae; Streptophyta; Magnoliopsida; Brassicales; Brassicaceae.
GAAAUAAAAAUUUUGAGCUUAUUUUAUACUGUUUAAUAUAGUAUAUAUUAAUUCAAUCCGAAAAUCAGAAAUUUAGAUUUUGUUGCAAACAUGUUUUUGAACAAAAAAUUCAAAGUCAACCUACUAUAAUAUUAGCCCCUCCACUAAACCGGCACAUUCCAUUAAUCUGUUUUCGAAUUUUUUUGGAAUUGAUUACCGUUCUUAAUCAUUAACUAAGAUUUCGAAAAGGUGAGGUUCUCCUCAUUAUUUCGGAUGUCGGGAUUUUUCAAAUCGUCUCUGAAUAUUAGAGGAUUUCUUCUAUGCUUAAAUCAGGCUGAAUCACAUUAUCACCUAUUUUCAAUUGUCCUUAUUCUACUCGGGUAUGGUCUUAGACCAUUUCUAAUGGUUUACUCUAUUUUUUACUCUAAAAUAGAGUAACUUUAUGAUAGUGUUUGAAUUUGCUCCAAUGGUACUCUAUUUUAGAGUAGAAAAUAGAGUGAUGAACAAAGAAAAAACAAAUUACUCUAUAUUUGGAGUAAACUUAUUUUUCAUUCUAUUAUAUAGUGAGAAAUAUAAUACCAUUGGAGUAUUUCUUACUUUAAACUCUAUUUUAAAAUAAAAAAUAAAGUGAAGUUGGAGAUGCUCUUAUUCAUUCUGGAACCAGCGUGUACCUCUUCCUGUUUUCGAGAAUGGUAUUUGAAAAAUAGAAAUUUUUUGGUAUCUGGUUUACCUUUGGGUAUAACAAUUCAGCCUCAAAUCUGAAAAAGUGGGCUGCAAAAAAACACUUUUCAAAAAAAAAUCAACAUGUUUGAAGUUAUAUAUGUGUGUGUUUUUUGUGUCUUCGUUUAUUCUUUUGAAAAUGUGGUGCUUUAUUAUAUUCACAUACUUUGCAAUUAUAUUUAGUUUAUUUCAAAAUAAUUUUGCCUUGAGAAAUAAUAAAAGAGUUAAAAAGAAGAAAAGGUUGACAAAUUCUGUUAAAUGGUUUCAUAUUUUAAAUUAAAUUGGUUUAAGUGAAGUAUAAUUGGAUAAAAGAAUAAAAUAAUAUGUGGUCAGUUUUAAAUAAAUAUAUAUUAUUUUAUAAAUAAUUUGUUGUAAUCGAUUUUCUACGGUUCAGUAUGUAAUGACAUGUGGUUAAAGGUUCCGUCCAAAUGUCAACCAUACGAAACAAUAGCAACAUGUGAAGACUGAGACAUAUAGGGUCUAAAAACAUAGGAUAUAAUGGUUCCACUUCACACUUUAAUUUUAUUUCUCAACAUCAUCUCGUAUUAGCCAAAUAUGAGUACAAGAUUAAAAUCUCGAGAUUUAAACCCAAGACACAACUAGUAAGAUCUAGUAUCGGCUGAAAACACUUUAAAAAAUUCUAUACUACCUAGAUUAAACUCAACACACAAUCAUUAUUUUCUGUUUUUUAUAUACUUUCAGUAUUCUAACAAAAUCUAUUGUUUACUAAUUUAUUUCUUAGAUUAUACUUUACUAAUUAAUUUCUGCCCCAAGUAAAAAAAAUCUAGAUCCAUCACCUCUAAACACUACAGACAUCUUACUGAUAUACAAGAAACUAUGGCUGCCAUGAGGUUGACGCAGAUCAGAAUGGAGUCUUUAUGAUAUCAAGAAGAUGGAAUCGGAGAUGGAGAAUCAAUGGCCUUUCUGGUUGUCUAAGAUUAUGUUGCAAUAUGUGAUCAAAGCCUGAGUCAGUUAAAAGAGUUACUAUAAUAACGAACAAAGACGAGAAAACUGAGGCAUCUUUUUUUUUUUUAGUUUUGUAAUAAAACAAUCGGAAUUGAGUCCAUGAUAUCCCAAAUGUUGGGCCUAUCUUACUAUCUAGAUCUCCUCUUCCAGCAAUAUAAAUAAUCUUUAAUCUAUAAUCUAUAAUCUACUAUCAUUUGUUGUGACAUUCAAUUAUUAUGUUUUGAUGACGAUAGUGAAUUAGGUGGAUCAUUUAUGGUCUAAAUAGUACUAUAGUAGGUUUAGGUCGUCAUAGCUAAUUCGUAGUUUUUACAUAUUCUGUAAAAGUACAAAACAAAUUAGGGCUAAACUUACUUCACGUCAUUUUAUAUAGUAACUGUUUUAAGAUAAAUUGUUAUAAAAUUAUUUCAAAAACAUGAAAUUAGUAAAGUACUAUUCAGAAAUCUUCUUUUGUUUAUUUCACAGUACGCUGGUUCAUUGUAUUCCAUAUAAAACUCCUUUUGUGGCUUUAUGUUAUGGUGUUGUAAUUUAAUGAAAGUUAAAGGAACUUAUAUAAAAAAUUAGGAGUAUCAUUUAUCGUCUAUAUGUUCUAUACAUUUGUUGUCAUCUAAUUGAAUAUAUACUAGACGUUGACCCGCCCGACCGGGCGGGUAUUUAUUUUAUGUUUUUAGUUUUUUUUGUUUAUAUUAAAUGACGUAUUUGGAAUAUUAAACAUAAAUUCAUAUUGAAAAUUAAUCUUUAUAGUUAUAAUAAAAAUAAAAAUUAAAAGUUUAAUAAAAUAUUCUGAUAUAAAUUUUAAAUUUCGUAAUUAAAAUAAUAUACAGGCGGUCAUAUUUUUUUUUCAAUUUCAAAAUCUAAACUUCCUUAAAGACAAAGAAAAUAAAUUUAUAAGGGAAUUUGCGGUGGAUGACCACAAAAACAAAUUUAAUUAGGUAUAUGGAUAUGUUACUGUUGAUUUUUCAUAAUGUCAAUAGUAACCCUAUUCUAUCUUGUAGAUAUGCACAAACAUAAAUCUGAUACUUUUGUCUUUAUCUUUCGUGUUAUAGAUUUUUUUUUGAAACAGAAUCUAACUCUUCGUCUCUUUAGCUAUCUCUCUUUCUGUAUUUUUCUCUUUCUCUCUUCUUCCUCCUGAUGUGAUCAUUCAUUUUCUCUAAAUAAGGAACUGUUUCUUUAUUGACGAAAGUUCUGAUGAAAUCAUGUGACAUAUCCUUUGAUUCAUCUCUCUAUAAAUGUGAAGAAUACAAGUAUGUCACUCGCAUAUGCUCUGCCGUCGUGUUCGUAAGCCUCUGAUCUACUCCGCCGCCGUAUUUCCGUAAGCCUAUGCCUUCGCCUCUGAUGUCAUCAUUGUAAUCCUCAGCUCCACCGCCGUGCUCCUGAAACCUCGUCUUCAUUCUUCUUCUCAUUUUAUAUCUAUUUAAUGUUUGAUUUACUUUGGCAUUGCGUUUGGUGAGGAAGAGAUGUGCCUUACUGUUUUUUUUUUGUGGUUGCUUUGCUUUAUCUUCUUGUUUUUUUCUUACGUUUGAUGUGAGAAAUGGAAAAUUUGUGAUGAAUCUGAGGAACAUUAUCUAUU